RNAcentral lists this ribosomal RNA (232 nucleotides) under uncultured bacterium. RNAcentral describes it as "partial 16S ribosomal RNA". It matches the Rfam family "Bacterial small subunit ribosomal RNA", at positions 118 to 348 of the family's 1533-position model. The record is from RNAcentral.
UGAGGAACAUGACCUUCGGCGGGGGAUAGCCGGCCCAACGGCCGAGUAAUACCGCGUACGACCACUUUGGGACAUCCCUAGGUGGUGAAAGCAGCAAUGCGCCGAUGGAGUGCCUCGCGGCCUAUCAGCUAGUUGGUGAGGUAACGGCUCACCAAGGCGACGACGGGUAGCUGGUCUGAGAGGAUGGCCAGCCACAUUGGGACUGAGACACGGCCCAGACUCCGUAGGGAGG